UUCCAGACUCCUACGGGAGGCAGCAGUGGGGAAUAUUGCACAAUGGGGGAAACCCUGAUGCAGCGACGCCGCGUGAAGGACGAAGUAUUUCGGUACGUAAACUUCUAUCAGCAGGGAAGAAAAUGACGGUACCUGACCAAGAAGCCCCGGCUAACUACGUGCCAGCAGCCGCGGUAAUACGUAGGGGGCAAGCGUUAUCCGGAUUUACUGGGUGUAAAGGGAGCGUAGACGGCAGCACAAGUCUGGAGUGAAAUCCCGGGGCUUAACCCCGGAACUGCUUUGGAAACUGUGCGGCUGGAGUGCAGGAGGGGUAAGCGGAAUUCCUAGUGUAGCGGUGAAAUGCGUAGAUAUUAGGAGGAACACCGGUGGCGAAGGCGGCUUACUGGACUGUAACUGACGUUGAGGCUCGAAAGCGUGGGGAGCAAACAGGAUUAGAUACCCCCGUA
Molecule: ribosomal RNA, 446 nt
Filed under: uncultured bacterium
Lineage: Bacteria
Description: bacterial SSU rRNA
Rfam family: Bacterial small subunit ribosomal RNA
Source: RNAcentral